Molecule: ribosomal RNA, 245 nt
Filed under: uncultured Eubacteriales bacterium
Lineage: Bacteria; Bacillati; Bacillota; Clostridia; Eubacteriales
Description: uncultured Clostridiales bacterium partial 16S ribosomal RNA
Rfam family: Bacterial small subunit ribosomal RNA
Source: RNAcentral
UACAUAGGGGGCAAGCGUUAUCCGGAAUUAUUGGGUGUAAAGGGUGCGUAGACGGGAGUGUAAGUUAGUUGUGAAAUCCCUCGGCUCAACUGAGGAACUGCAACUAAAACUGUACUUCUUGAGUAUCGGAGAGGAAAGUAGAAUUCCUAGUGUAGCGGUGAAAUGCGUAGAUAUUAGGAGGAAUACCAGUGGCGAAGGCGACUUUCUGGACGAAGACUGACGUUGAGGCACGAAAGUGUGGGGAG